RNAcentral lists this ribosomal RNA (497 nucleotides) under uncultured bacterium. RNAcentral describes it as "partial 16S ribosomal RNA". It matches the Rfam family "Bacterial small subunit ribosomal RNA", at positions 28 to 507 of the family's 1533-position model. The record is from RNAcentral.
GAUGAACGCUGGCGGCGUGCCUAAUACAUGCAAGUCGAGCGAACAGAUGAGGAGCUUGCUCCUCUGACGUUAGCGGCGGACGGGUGAGUAACACGUGGAUAACCUACCUAUAAGACUGGGAUAACUUCGGGAAACCGGAGCUAAUACCGGAUAAUAUAUUUAACCGCAUGGUUCAAUAGUGAAAGACGGUUUUGCUGUCACUUAUAGAUGGAUCCGCGCCGCAUUAGCUAGUUGGUAAGGUAACGGCUUACCAAGGCAACGAUGCGUAGCCGACCUGAGAGGGUGAUCGGCCACACUGGAACUGAGACACGGUCCAGACUCCUAAGGGAGGCAGCAGUAGGGAAUCUUCCGCAAUGGGCGAAAGCCUGACGGAGCAACGCCGCGUGAGUGAUGAAGGUCUUCGGAUCGUAAAACUCUGUUAUUAGGGAAGAACAAAUGUGUAAGUAACUAUGCACGUCUUGACGGUACCUAAUCAGAAAGCCACGGCUAACUACGUG